AUGCCAGAUCUGAGCACCGUCUGUCCCGAACUGUCUGCCGACGCCGCCGUGGACCUAGUGGGCGGGGAUGCGGCCGCUGACCCCGCGACGGCAGCGGCGGCGGCGGCGACGGAAUCCUCCUCCGGCGGCGAUGGCGCUCCCAUUAUCCCUGUGGAGUGCCGUUGGAGCGGCCGCGUGCGCGCCUUUGACGUCCAGGGCGCGGUCCCUGUGACCGCCUGCCCCGAGGCGCGCCGCGGCGGCGAGAGGAGGUCGUCCAUUGUUCCGCUCCCUUCGUCCGCGGCGGCGUCACUCGCCCCGUUAUCGGGUUGGGUGCUCGAGGACUAUGUGAACGAGGGCGUGAUCGCUGUCACUGCCGGCGCGGAGGCGCGCAGAGGAGGCGGCCGGAAGAACUCGUCCUCUGCCCCGCUGCCUCCGUCCGCAGCGGCACCAGCGCCGGCAUCUGGUCGGGCACUCGAGGAAUAUGUGAACGCCGACGUGGCCUCUCUCGCCGCCUCUCCUGAAGCGCACCACGGCGGCGGUAAGGACUCCUCUGCCCCGUUGCAUUCUGCCGCCACGGCCGUACAUGCGCCAGCACCGGGUGUGAAGCUCGAAGAUUAUGUGAACGUGUGUGCGGUCUCUGCCACUCCAUAUCUUGAGGCGCGCCGCAGUGGCGGAAAGAAGCCGGAUCUGAUGCUAGAGGACUAUGUGAACAAGGGUGUGGUUUCUAUCACAGCCCACCCUGAGGUGCGCCGCGGCAGCGGGAAGAGGUCGUCUUCGACUCGUUCGCCUUUAUCUCCGGCAGCAACGGUGCUGGCGCUGGCAUCGGGUCGGUCACUCAAGGACUAUGUGAAGGAGUGGGAGGCGAGGAAGGUGGCGUCAGGUGCCUCCCUGCAGCAUUGUGUGCUGCCAUUCCUCACUGGUGCGCCCAAGGCGGUUGAAUGUCGUGUAUGCUAUAAGAUUAUCCAUCCCUCGGAAGAAAUAAAAUGUUCAGUUAGCCGUUGUGAACAAAUGUUUCAUCUGACCUGUGUGGUGGAAUAUACUGCAAAUUUCACUGCUGAAAGCUUCAGGUGCCCUCAGCAUGGUUGCAUGGUUUGUAAGCAAAAAAUGUUUUUUUGGCGCUGUGGACGUUGUACAGUUGCAGCACAUACAAAAUGUGCACCAUGGCCUCUAAUUCAUCUAAAAGAUGACCAAGGAAGUGCAAUUUGCUGGAGGCACCCUUCCAAUUGGCUCCUUCAAAAUGAGAAUGCUGACCUGACAAACAACAUAGAGGAAGUCUUCUGCCGACUACCUCUUCCAUAUGUUAAUGAAGAAUUCAAUAUUGAUUCAACCAUUAGGAAUUUCACGGCAAUUGUUUGUAAACCGCCCUCCUACACACAUAUCAGGCGCAAUGUAUAUUUAGUCAAGAAGAAACGCGCCGAUUCGAGUGCCGAGACUGGGUGCACAAAUUGCAAAUCGGAUUCUGUUUGCAAAGAUGAUUGUGAAUGCAGGGGUCUUUCUAUGAGUUGUUCCAAGAGUUGCCACUGUUCAGAUCUGUGUAGCAACAAGCCAUUCCGCAAGGAUAAGAAAAUUAAAAUUGUCAAGUCAGAAGGCUGUGGAUGGGGUGCUGUUGCAUUGGAGCCAUUGGAGAAAGGUGAUUUCAUAAUUGAGUAUGUGGGUGAAGUCAUCAAUGAUGCAACAUGUGAACAACGGCUUUGGGACAUGAAGCGGCGUGGGGACAAAAAUUUCUACAUGUGUGAAAUCAGCAAAGAUUUUACAAUAGAUGCAACUUUUAAAGGAAACACUUCACGUUUUCUAAACCAUAGUUGUGAUCCCAACUGUAAACUAGAAAAGUGGCAAGUUGAGGGUGAGACAAGAGUUGGUGUUUUUGCCUCUCGUUUCAUUGAAGUUGGAGAGCCCUUAACUUAUGACUACAGGUUUGUGCAUUUUGGAGAGAAGGUUAAGUGCCAUUGCGGAGCAAAGAGUUGCCAAGGAUACUUGGGCAGCCAACUAAAGAAUCCAACACAGAACGCUCUUGCGGCUGCGGCGCUUGAGAAUAAGUUGCUCGUGCAACAGGGCGGCUGCUCUCCUUCAAGGGUGAAAACAGAGACUCGCCUGUUACCCUGGACCAACUGUAUAGAGGUUCCCUUUAACUUGAGGAGCAAAACGAAGAUAGACCGGAUAUGUUGGGGACAGAAACGGCAGCGGACGUCCCUUUUAGAUCCAUCGUCAUCUUCAGCUAGCGUGCAGCCAUCAGAUAUUGAAGCUGGUGCAUUCAUUCUAUAG
This 2241-nucleotide ribosomal RNA is filed under the name Triticum aestivum (bread wheat). Its description in RNAcentral is "partial small subunit ribosomal RNA". Lineage: Eukaryota; Viridiplantae; Streptophyta; Magnoliopsida; Poales; Poaceae. The record is from RNAcentral.